RNAcentral lists this ribosomal RNA (392 nucleotides) under uncultured bacterium. Its description in RNAcentral is "bacterial SSU rRNA". It matches the Rfam family "Bacterial small subunit ribosomal RNA", at positions 29 to 424 of the family's 1533-position model. The record is from RNAcentral.
AUUGAACGCUGGCGGCAUGCCUUACACAUGCAAGUCGAACGGCAGCGCGGGAGCAAUCCUGGCGGCGAGUGGCGAACGGGUGAGUAAUAUAUCGGAACGUGCCCAGUAGUGGGGGAUAGCCCGGCGAAAGCCGGAUUAAUACCGCAUGAGACCUGAGGGUGAAAGUGGGGGAUCGCAAGACCUCGCGCUACUGGAGCGGCCGAUAUCAGAUUAGCUAGUUGGUGGGGUAAAGGCCUACCAAGGCAACGAUCUGUAGUUGGUCUGAGAGGACGACCAGCCACACUGGGACUGAGACACGGCCCAGACUCCUACGGGAGGCAGCAGUGGGGAAUUUUGGACAAUGGGCGCAAGCCUGAUCCAGCAAUGCCGCGUGCAGGAAGAAGGCCUCGGUU